GAUGAACGCUAGCGGCAGGCUUAACACAUGCAAGUCGAGGGGUAUAGUAGCAAUACUAGAGACCGGCGCACGGGUGCGUAACGCGUAUGCAAUCUACCUUUUGCAGAGGGAUAGCCCAGAGAAAUUUGGAUUAAUACCUCAUAGUAUAGCGACAUCGCAUGAUGAUGCUAUUAAAGUCACAACGGCAAAAGAUGAGCAUGCGUCCCAUUAGCUAGUUGGUAAGGUAACGGCUUACCAAGGCGACGAUGGGUAGGGGUCCUGAGAGGGAGAUCCCCCACACUGGUACUGAGACACGGACCAGACUCCUACGGGAGGCAGCAGUGAGGAAUAUUGGACAAUGGGCGCAAGCCUGAUCCAGCCAUGCCGCGUGCAGGAUGACGGUCCUAUGGAUUGUAAACUGCUUUUAUACAGGAAGAAACACUGGUUCGUGAACCAGCUUGACGGUACUGUAAGAAUAAGGAUCGGCUAACU
Molecule: ribosomal RNA, 471 nt
Filed under: uncultured bacterium
Lineage: Bacteria
Description: bacterial SSU rRNA
Rfam family: Bacterial small subunit ribosomal RNA
Source: RNAcentral